AUGUUUCUGGCCACACACACCAGGGGGCACACUCUAGAACUUGUUUUUACCCUGAGUCUAAAUGCUGACCGUGUUUGUCCUGAGGACGUUUAUAUUUCAGAUCACCAUUGUGUUUUCUUUAACUUGUCAGUUUCUGCGUCCCCACCUCCUGCUCGCCGUAUGGUUAGUUCUCGUUUUCUUAAUGAGAGCACAGCUAGCAAUGUUUCUGCUGCUUUUGAUCCACCCUGUUCUUCUGAUAACGACCCAGAUUCCUUAACUUCUCAGUUUAACGAGCACUGCCUCUCCAUUCUGGACGACAUCUGUCCUGUCAGAACCAGAUCAGUUCCUGCAGUGAACCCUACUCCCUGGUUUAAUGACAGCCUUCGCAGCCUGAAGCACCAAUGCAGAAAAAUUGAGCGUUUGUGGAAGAAAACCCGUCUCCACGUCCGUCUGCUGCACCUAAAGGAUCUUCUGACAUCCUUUAACUCUGCAGUCAGAGACGCUAGGGUUUCCUAUUUCUCAAACCUGGUGUCCCAGAGCAAAGGGAACCCCAAGGUGCUGUUUAACACCAUCAGCGGUAUCGUCUCUCCUGCCUCUCCUGCAGCCUCCAUCCACUCUGUUGCAGACUGUGAGAACUUUCUGUCUUUCUUUGUGGACAAAGUCAAUAAGGUUAGAUCUAGCAUCUCUCCUUCAGCCUUAUCGCCGCCUCUUCCGACUCCAACCAGGCCCAUCAUCCUAGAUAGCUUUGCUCCUGUUUCUUUGCCUGAGUUAACCAAACUAGUUAACUCUAUGAAGACCUCUGCAUGCCCCCUCCACAUCUUACCCUCAUCUUUGUUUAAAAGUGCUUUUCAGUCCAUCGGCCCCAGCGUGCUCUCUAUAAUUAAUGCUUCUCUGGUCUCUGGUCAGGUCCCUGCUUACUUUAAGAACUCUGUAAUCCACCCGCUUCUUAAAAAACCGAGUCUCGACCCCUCUCUCCAUAGCAGCUUCAGACCCAUCUCUAAACUUCCGUUCAUCUCCAAGAUCUUGGAAAAGGUUGUGGCUAAACAACUCACAGCUGCUCUUGAUGAACAUAACAUCUAUGAUAGCUUCCAGUCAGGUUUUCUUAGAGCUCAUUCUACUGAAACAGCUCUUCUUAGGGUCUCUAAUGACCUUCUGACUCACAGCGAUGCAGGGGACUGUUCUGUUCUUCAAGUGCAGAGUUUUUACCUGACAACGGCACAACACUGA
Molecule: long non-coding RNA, 1206 nt
Filed under: Nothobranchius furzeri (turquoise killifish)
Lineage: Eukaryota; Metazoa; Chordata; Actinopteri; Cyprinodontiformes; Nothobranchiidae
Description: lncRNA (ENSNFUG00015015272.1)
Source: RNAcentral